This 2756-nucleotide long non-coding RNA is filed under the name Mytilus galloprovincialis (Mediterranean mussel). The record is from RNAcentral. Lineage: Eukaryota; Metazoa; Mollusca; Bivalvia; Mytilida; Mytilidae.
UACACUGAAAAAAAUACCUAGUAAAUAUUACUAGUUUGGCUAGUACUUCAUUAAAAGUCCCUAGUAGAUUAUCAAACAACUAAUUAGACUAGUAUGUUUACUAUCGUGGAUGCAUCGUAUUACCAGGAACCAGCUGUGCAACUGAUAACAGGAUUUCCCGCCGGACGAUAUCAUAUUCGCGUGGCCAAGUUCUGUUGUACAUGAAGUGAUGGCCGCAAUCAAACGAAUAAAGAAUCUGAGUGAUUUUUGGCCUGAUUCAUUGAAAAGCUGUAAGUAUUUUAACUAAUUUGUGUUUUAUUUUAUCGUCUUAACUUGUUUACACAAAAAAAGAACCACAUCAUCUCGCCUUUCACGUAAAAUAAAAUGUACUACAGAAGAUGGUCAAGAUAACCUUGUGACACGUGGAACAAACUUUAUCUAUUUAAGUUAAGAUUUACAAGAUGCAGAUUUCGUUAUUCUAAUAUUAACACCUUUUCUUCUUUUUUUUUAAUACGAAAACUAAUUAAUAAUCCUUCUAUUUCACCACCACAGAAAACCGUAACUUAAAUCCGAAACGUUUUAUGAUUAUAUAAUUAAAGUGCGCCUCGUUAUGAAAUUAAUAUGGCUGCGCCCAUGUAGUGAAAAAAUAUGAACCUGCCAAAACUAUAAACACAGUCAAUACAUGGUAUAUCUUCAAUAUUUUCACAUCAAAUAUGAAAUUGAGAAACAUUUGAAAGCACCACAGAAUGUACUUGAUGACAUACAUGCACCAUGUAGGUGUACACUUGCAUCUUGACUCUGAGUGCACAAAUGCAUUCUAAUUUCAAACAAGUAAUAGCUUUUCUAAAAAGCUAGCCGUCUCUUAGCUUCAGGAUGAAAGUAGAAAGUGUUAAAAUUCAUAAAGGCUAAUACAAUUUUUCCUAAUUUACUAAUGUUUUUUUGGGAUAAUUUACCAACACUGGAUUAGAAAGGGUGUGAUGCCUUAACUGUUUUUUUUAAAUUAAAUAUGAAAAUAUUUAUAAAAGUAUAUUUUAAACAUGGCUCUGGGAUAAUUAUUGUUUUUGCCAGUAUUUUAACUCUCUGUAUAGCAGUAUAAUUGUAGAUUUAAUAUUAAUGCAUACAUAUUACACUCGUUAAUGUCUUACUUGAAAUACUUGUAUGCAAUUGCAUUAAAAAGCUAUAAAAAAAAAGCACAUAAAUGUUCAGUGUGUAUCUAUAUAUGUCUGACAUGAUGACUCACCUAUCACACAUAAGAAACAAAGUGAAAUAUAGUUUUUUAAAUACAAUGUAUUAGUAGAAAUUGACAGUAGAGUUCUAGUUAAUCUAUAUUAAUUAAUAUUGACAACACUACAUGUACAUGUAGUUUUAUUAUGGAUUUUUGUAUAAUUUCAGGUUCUGAAAAAAAUCACAGGGGAUGAUAAAUUUAGACAAGAAGGAUCGACCACCAACAUGCUACACUUACUGGAACUUGAAAAACCUGCAAUUCACAAGAACAAGCCAAAGACUAGUAUUACCGUACAAAGUGGUUGAGGGUAUGGUCCCAGCUAUCCAAACCUGACAAAUUAUUGGUAACAAGCAAUCUUUACCAAAAAGGAACAUCAAGCCGACACGCUUUGCAGACUUUGAAAGUGAUAAUUUAUAAAUUUGGUUAAGGCUAUUGAAACAACAAACUGUGAAAACGAGCAAUUUAAAAACACAUUCUUCGUCAAAACUGUGAUUCAUUGAAAGAAGACGUAGUGUGCGCCAAGUCAGUUGAGAGCUUCAAAACAGCUCACCAAGGCCGUCAAUAGGAGUCCGCUCUCCCGUCAAGUUCAAGCCAGAAUUGGGACCUUCGAUGUAACAAUGCAGAUACAUAUAGCAUGAAAAGUUUUAUAUAAUGAACAUUUAUAUUUAUAUCUAUUGAUGUUUCAGUACAAGUAUGAUUAUUUGUUUUUGUUGUGAUCUAUGACAUACAUGUAUAGUAUAAACAAUUUUGAGAAAGUGUUAUCUGUAUACAUGACAGUUCCGUGAAAAUGUUAACCAACUUUUGUGUCAACUUAUUCAUUCAUCUAAAAACUGAUACAAGCCAAUAUUAGAAUUCAAUCAAUAGAUUAAGACUAUAAAAUCAGUUUUGACCUAGGCCUGUUCAAGUUUAUUAAGGUCAAAAUAAGAUAAAACAAAGUUUCAUAAUAUAAAAUAUCAAUGUAGGAGCAAACGGUGAAAAUGAUUUAGAUCCUAGUGCAAUAUGAGAUGGGUGACAUGUAUUUAGAUCCUGGUGCUCUAGAGGGGUGACAUUGAGUUGGAUCUGUUUGCUCAAACUAAAAUUUACAGUGCUUUAAAAAAUGAUAAGUGAUCAUGCUUUAUAAAGUUAUAAACUGUUACAAUCUGUAUACAUGUACUUACUUCCUGACAAUUUUAUUUUUACUUCUAAGUGUUUUAAAAUGUAAACUUUGAAGUAGGAAGACAUAAAAUAACUGAUAAGUCUUACUUUGUUCUUUUUUUUAAAAUAAAUAUUCGAGGGAGAGUUUAUUCAUUUUGGUUUUGCAGGGAGAGCUGAUUGAUUUAAACAGGGGCCGUGCAAUAACUAGAUGGGUUAUAAUUUAUUACAUAAACUGACGUUUUAAAUUUUUUUCAUCGAAAUAACUUUAGAAUUGUAAACUGAAUAUUCUAAAUACAUGUAUGAAAUAUUGUUAAUAUUGAUUAGGGUACAGCUUAUUAAUGGUUUUGAAACAUGAAUUUAAAUGGUUACUUUGAAGUAAAUUGAGAACAUGUUACCUAUUUGUUUGUUGUUGGUUGGA